CUGCAGUGCCGAGUGACACAGCCAGGCGACAUAGUCACUGAGCACUAACUUCUAUUAAAUGCAGGCAGACUGUGAGAACCCUAUCGGAACUGCAUCAAGACACGAGAGGAGCAAAGGGGUAGCUGCAAAGUUUUGGAUGAGGCCUCUGCAGGCAACUGGAAGCACAGUGUACCCAGGUGGAGCCCAACCUCAUCAGUAUCUUUCCUUCCGGCAAACUGACAAGGCUGGAUAUAGUCAAUGACUCAAGUGGAUUUGAUUGCCUAAGAGGUACAAGUCUCUGAAUAUACAGUUCCCAAAUGCAGAGUAGGAAUAUUCAUCCUCAUUCUACUUUCUGAAGUUGCCAUUUCACAAUCAACAUUUUAAAUG
This is a long non-coding RNA of Zalophus californianus (California sea lion), 366 nucleotides long. RefSeq lists it as uncharacterized. The record is from RefSeq and is a predicted model, not a curated record. The transcript has 3 exons. Lineage: Eukaryota; Metazoa; Chordata; Mammalia; Carnivora; Otariidae.